Molecule: ribosomal RNA, 231 nt
Filed under: uncultured bacterium
Lineage: Bacteria
Description: partial 16S ribosomal RNA
Rfam family: Bacterial small subunit ribosomal RNA
Source: RNAcentral
CGGACGGGUGAGUAAUGUCUGGGAAACUGCCUGAUGGAGGGGGAUAACUACUGGAAACGGUAGCUAUACCGCAUAACGUCGCAAGACCAAAGAGGGGGACCUUAGGGCCUCUUGCCAUCGGAUGUGCCCAGAUGGGAUUAGCUUGUUGGUGGGGUAACGGCUCACCAAGGCGACGAUCCCUAGCUGGUCUGAGAGGAUGACCAGCCACACUGGAACUGAGACACGGUCCAG